Molecule: ribosomal RNA, 495 nt
Filed under: uncultured archaeon
Lineage: Archaea
Description: bacterial SSU rRNA
Rfam family: Archaeal small subunit ribosomal RNA
Source: RNAcentral
GGUGCAGCAGGCGCGAAAACUUUACAAUGCCGGCAACGGCGAUAAGGGGACCUCGAGUGCCAGGUUACAAAUCUGGCUGUCGUGAUGCCUAAAAAGCAUUGCAUAGCAAGGGCCGGGCAAGACCGGUGCCAGCCGCCGCGGUAACACCGGCGGCUCGAGUGGUAACCGUUAUUAUUGGGUCUAAAGGGUCUGUAGCCGGCCGGAUAAGUCUCUUGAGAAAUCCAGCAGCUCAACUGUUGGGCUUUCAGGAGAUACUGUUCGGCUCGAGGCCGGGAGAGGUGAGAGGUACUUCAGGGGUAGGGGUGAAAUCUUGUAAUCCUUGAAGGACCACCAGUGGCGAAGGCGUCUCACCAGAACGGACCUGACGGCAAGGGACGAAAGCUAGGGGCACGAACCGGAUUAGAUACCCGGGUAGUCCUAGCCGUAAACGAUACUCGCUAGGUGUCGGCCACGGUGCGACCGUUGUCGGUGCCGUAGGGAAGCCGUGAAGCGAGC